RNAcentral lists this unclassified non-coding RNA (246 nucleotides) under Hevea brasiliensis (rubber tree). Lineage: Eukaryota; Viridiplantae; Streptophyta; Magnoliopsida; Malpighiales; Euphorbiaceae. The record is from RNAcentral.
UUAUUGCUGAUCAUUGUUCCAGUUGUAAUAUUUUGUGUAUUUGUUGUGAGGCACCUUCGCCAUGAAUUUUCACCAUACAAUGCUGGAUAUGCAAUUCUGGUGGUAGCUAUUGUCUUCACUAUCUAUGUGUUGGUUCUUCUUUUUCUCACAUCAGCCCGAGACCCUGGUAUUAUCCCACGUAAUUCACAUCCACCAGAGGAAGAGUUCCGAUAUGAUUCUUCAGUGUCAGUUGAGGUUGGGGGAAGA